Condylura cristata (star-nosed mole) is the source of this 5589-nucleotide long non-coding RNA. RefSeq lists it as uncharacterized. The record is from RefSeq and is a predicted model, not a curated record. Lineage: Eukaryota; Metazoa; Chordata; Mammalia; Eulipotyphla; Talpidae. The transcript is spliced from 7 exons.
CAGCUUGCAAUGCUUUGCUUUAACUGGCUGUGCCACCAGGAAGGGCCCAAGACCAGCAUAUUUUAAAAGUGAACUAGUAAAGAAGAGAAUAUUGCAGGUAACAAAGUUGAAUAUUGUUUACUGAAAAUUGUUUUAUAUACUUUAUAACUGUGUGUACUGGGUCCUGAUAUAAAAGGUUAUUUCCUGUUGAGAACGAAUUUUUUUUUUUAAAGCCUUGAAAAUCACUAUGAGACACGAGCCAUCCAGUAAUUGUUAGAACAUUUGGAUGGUAUGGGGCUUGCCCUUGAAUAAGGAGCAGCAGGCUCAUUACUCAGGGGGUCUUCAGAUUUUGAGUACCACCUUCUUUGAGAAGAUAGGGUAGCUUCAAUUUUGGUUUAUAACAUGUUUUCCUUUCCUGGUGUGUAUCUGAUACCCCAAUACCUGUGUAUCAGCGUUCAACUCAUACCAGGUAUCAGUGGGACUAGAGAAAGCUUUAAAAAAAUUGAUCCACAAACACUACUCAAAAGAGCAUGACAGGAUAUUAUUUAUCUAGAUGUAUUUCAAUCUUUCUCCCACUAAGCAUUUUACUAAUAUUAGGACUAAAGUUCUCCUUUUAAUAAGUGAGUUGAAUUUAUUGUGUUUAGCUUCAGUUUGAUUAACCAUACAGGUGACAAAGGCCCUUAAAAAUGAUGAAAUGACUAUAGAGUAGUGCAUUCUUGUAGGGCCUAUAUACUCAUUCUCUAGAGGUGCUACGCAACUGUCAAUGCACUCUCACCAUGAAGAAUUGGAUUGCCUCAUUUCUAUAGGAUCUAAGUAGAAAAUGUAGACCACCUAUGUGUAUUCUUUAUGCAGGCAUUAAUACAAAAUUUAUUCAGUCUGCUUUUCUUUGGUGCUACCCAGUAAUUUUUACUUCGAGCGCCUUUAACAAAUUAUAACAGGGGACCAUUCAAAUUCCUGACCAAUCCCUUGAAAUAUACUUUUGAAAUUACUCAUUAUUGAUACUAGUCUAAUCAAGGUAAUAAUCCUUAAAAUGCUCAUGAUUUUUAGAAUCUUUGCUUUCAAAUGUUGAUUUGUACACCUAUUAGCAGAUUUUUCUUCAUGUUGCUUUUCUUCCUACCACAGCUAGCCUAAGUUUAUAUUUGUUUCAGGGCUAUCCUAAAAACAGCUCAGCAUUUAGACUGAUUAAGAUACCAGAUUCUACUCUACUCCAUCACAAACCUCUUUGUAUCUUUAAUUGAAUUUUUUUUUUUACUUUCUCAUUUGUAAAGUAAGUUACUCCAUGUUAUUGUAAAGGUUUGCUUUAGAAUUACAGAUGAGGUCUUUUUUUAAAAACUUAUAACAUUUUCAAGAAAAAAAAGAAAGCAAUACUUUAUUUUAGUUGUCCAGAGAACUACCUAGGAUAUGUAACAUCAAAUUUUAUAGGUUAAUAUGAGUAUAUUUUUAAAGUUUUUAUUACUGUAUACAGAUUCAAAUUGCUACAAUUUAACAAAAUGCUUUGAUACCUAUCUAUUGCAUUGACAAAUCCCUGUGACUGAAAACCUAUCACUUAGUAUUAUUGCUCUAAAAUUUAUUGUGUUCUUUCUACUGAUCUCCUUGUAACAAGAACCCUGGUGAGAGCUAUGUAAUAAAAAGUGUAGUUAAAUAGAACAUGUGGAAUAGGCCCUACAUAUUCUUACUGCUGGAAGCCAUCAUAACAGUUGGCUUCCUCAAAGCUCCCAACUUGGGGAUAGAAAAACAUUCAGAUGAAAGUGUAAAUUACAUUGAAAUGUUCUCACUAUUAAUAAUUUUAUAACUAUAAUCAGAAACUUACAGAAAUUGCAUCCAGGAUUUGUUACAAGGUCAGAUACAUUGUUAAACUUUUAAUGGUCAGUCUCUGUACAUGAAUAUGUGUAUUACUUACAUGAAUUUUUCAGGGAAUGUGCACUUUAAAAAUACGCCCUUAUUAGUUUUUGUAGUGAUCAAAUAGUGCUGCUUUAUUGGAAUAACUCCUUCCCUUUCAUGUUUCUUAUGCCUCUUAUAUAGACUCCUCACCUUAUUUCCUGUUCCACAGUCUCUGCCUUUGUUUUGUGGAUUCUGAUAAGAUAAUAUAUGAAGACAAAUGUUUACAGUGAAUUGUUUCCUCUUGAAAUUGACUCUAGUCUUUAUUUUUCCCCUGAAAAUUAGUUGGCCAUGCUGAGUAAUUACUAAUUUUUUAUAAGUAAGAAUUAUUUCUUGCUAUGGUAUAAUUAGAUUGCUUAGCAUGAUGACUGCCCCAUGUAACAGUGUGUAUAUAAUUUUGUCAAAUAAAUUGAGUCUAACAAACUUUCUGAUCUCUAAUCUGCCUCUCUUCUAAGUUGUUGGACAGAACUGGAAACAUUUCCCAUAAACCUUCCCUCAGCUGUCUCAUACCCUCUUUUGGUUCUUUGUAAGUGUGUUAGUAGAUAAGUUGGCCAAGAUCCUGAUCUUUCAGAGCAGUCAACAUCCAACCCAGUAUAAUCACUGCUGACCAAAAAGCUUUGAGUGGUAAUAUUUAGUGAAUUCUUAAGCACCGAAACUGUGCCUCUCAACCUCUGGAAACUUUGAAUAGCUCACUUCAAUAAAUAGUAAGUAUAUUUUUAGAUUUUUUUUACUUGUAGAGUUAAUACUGGAAGUAUAAAAAUUUUCCAGUGAAAAAUCCACACUUUUUAAAAUUUCCCUGAUUGCUGAUUAGCUUGGGUCCUUUUGAUAUGCCACUUGGAAUGAUUAGAAGUAAUCUGUGACUUGGAAUGCCUGGUAUCCCACUCCCAGUCCUCAGAGUUGUCUGUCUUGAUGUUGAUGUUUCUAGAUAUCCUUAAGAGAGCUGCUUUCCUGUAUCUGUUCUUUUGUGCAAAAUUGUCUUGGCUAAUAUGGACCUUUACUGUUCCAGAUAGAUCUUUAAUAGUACUUUGUCAGGUUCCACAAAAACUGUUGCAUUUGCAUUCAUGUUUUGAGUGAAGGUUAGUUUUUAAAGGCUUAAUGUUGCUAUGGUUAGCAUAAAACUAUAAGCAUAAUUCUUUUCUAGCAUUGAUGAUGAUCUUUUGAAUAGUUUAACACUUGGAAGUGUUUAACUGUAACUAUCCUAACUGAUAAGAAAACUUAAGUGUCCGUACAGGAAUGCUCACAGUUUGUUGUAUACAAUUGUGUUAACUGGAAAUAAAGUCUCAAUGAUAAAGUGAUGAUUCAAGUCCAAUAAACAGUUUGACAGAUUUUACCUUGUUAGAACUAUUCCAGUAAACCUAAGUUUGAGUUUUUAUUGGUAGGAAUAGUGAUACAAAAAAGGGAGGUCAUAACAUAAGUUAGCGUGGAAAGUCUGAUUUUUCAGAGCACUUCUGUCUCUAUCCGGACUAUGUCAGUCGAUAGAGGUUGCAUAGCUUGUGCCAGUGACCCAUAGCCAUUAAGAGAGUAAUAAUACUUGAUUGGCAGGACUUCUAGUUAUAGCUGUCCUUACUUAAAGAUAUGCUGAUGCUAAAGGAAGGCAAUGCAAGAUUGAAUCUCCUCUGAAGAAUGCACUGCAGAGAUACAAAGGCUGGGUUCCCAUUGUUAAAUCUUUAUCUGGCUCCUUGGUCAUCAGUGGAUAUUGCCUUUAUCUUCAGGUAGCUGGCUUCCUGUAUAGGUUGAGAGGAUGGAAACUUCAGACUUUUCAGUCUGUAAUGAUGACUUUGCACUUUUGCAUUAUACAGCAGGGAUGGAAGGAGGAGUAACACCAGAAUAUUUUUCAAGAUAUUCAUGUCACUGAUCCGAAUUCAAUUUGUACUCUGAUUGGAGAGGGAUCAGUUUGGCAAUCCACAAUAGUCACUACUGAGACUGCAUAUCCGGGAAGACUGGCAGAAACCAGUAAAAGAAGUUGUUUUGCUUUGGCAGAAGUGUUAACAGCAGAGACAGUCAUACCAUUGGACUGGGUAUGUAUUCAUAGAACUGUAAGGAAAAUUUGAAUUCAUAAAACUGAUAAAAGAGGAAAGUCACUAAGGAGUACAUAGGAUUGAAUGAACUGAUGAGAAUGAUCAUAAUUUUUACUUUAAAACAUUGAUGAUUUGAGUGUGCUGUUUUUCUAGAUUUAAGGAAAUAUUUUUACUUUAUAAGCUAUAUAAAUGAAACACCAGUUUGGUCAAGUAUAUCUUUGUGAAUAACAUGGAAGAAUUACUUUUUCUCCCUACCUAAUUUGGAAAGUCUUAGUAUUCUUAGCUAAGAAACUAUGUUUAUAUGUACACAAAUGCAAUAAAGAUCUGUUAUCCUUGUACCAAGAAAUAUUGGUUUGAUUAGAAGGGGCAUAGAAUCAUGUAUGAUCAAAUAGUUUUUAAAAAAUAAAAGCUAAGAUUGAGUUUCUGGAGCUAAUAAAGCCUCUUGGAAAAACUACCUGGUACGUUGAUCUCUUAUAGGCUUUUUGGCAGACUUACCAGGUGGGUAAGGAUGGGAGGGGGGAAUUAACUAACCCAAAUGUGUAAAAGUUGCAGCAAAGCAGAUUGAAAAGAACUCAUGUUAUUCUUUGCUACACUUCUGUCAAUACUAAGAUUUAUUUUGCAAACAACUUUGCUUUACUGUUAUUACCUUUGGUAAAAAAUGGGGGUGAUUGUAGAGCAGACAGUGUUUCAGUAGAAACUGUAAUAUACCUUUGUAGAUAUCAGAUCUAGACUUUUUAAAUUUGAGGUCUUAUCUGUAAAUUUUAUUAGAUUCUGAACUCAAAGUUCUUCAGACUCUAGCUACAACUUGAUACAAACUUUAGAGAAAUGUCCACAACAGCUUAAUCUUGAGACAGUACCUUUUUCUGUGUAAGUCACUCAAUUUUUAUCUGAAAAGCAAGUAACAUCAGUGGCAAGAUAAUUUGAUCCCAACAUCUAGAAGCAUUCUGACAGCCCUCAGGACUUAGGCUGUGUUUAUUAUAUGUCCCAGCCAGUACCUUUGUUUUUGUUUUCACAGACAUGACCUCAUAUUGAAUACCUGAUUUGCUCACCAUAGAGCCUUCACUGGGAGCAUAUGCAAUACUGCCAAUGAAACCAGACAUACUGAUGUACUUUCAACACUAAGAGCCUGCCUGCAUGAUGGACUUGGGUGAUAUCACAAGCACUUGGAAAUUAGAAGACAGGAUUUGCAAGCUCCUCUUGUUGAGCAAGGAUUGGGUUAUGUCUCUGGAGUCUGGUAAAGGAGCUGCUACAUUCUAUCUGACCAGCAGUGAAGUCAGUUGGUCACAGGAGCUGACUGGGGGAGGAGAGCAGACCUCACUACACAAAGGCUAGGUGAAGCACUGCAAACCUUCUCAAGUCUCAAUGGGACGAGAUAAAAGAAUCUUUGCACCCACUUUGAUUGAACUUCUAGACCAUGCAUUGGGAUUCAUACAAGGAAGAGCAUGAAGGGGAGGAGAGAACACAAGCUACUCAAACCUCUCAAGGCAGAUCUAACAACUCGAGUUCAGUGGCCAGUGCUUUAGCAACGGUGCAGAGGACAUUAAAUUCCUGACUGGAAUUUCCCUCCCAAGAAGGAAGGGCAGAUGCUGCCCCAGGUAACCCCAAAACUACUCCCAGCAUCUGGCAACAACCCAGCUAAUGUCCUAAUUUGGAAACACUGUGGUCUGUCGUGUUUGAAAAGAAUGCACAAGUAAAGCUUACCUGAUGUACCAUU